AGAAGUUAUAUCAUUAAAAGAGAAUACACACAUAGAUAAACAAACAAGCAAAGAAAAUCACCAUGGUCUCAUUUGGAAGGCAAAGUAACCAUGCUGGCAAAUAGCAAGUAGAAAUGAUAGUGAACAAGCGACAAAACCAUACCGCACCAAAUGUGUUUGUUCUAGGACGAAGAUGAGCUUUAGUUCUCAAAAAUUCUCGGCUGACCCUUUUCUUUUGAAUGGGAUAGGAAGGAUCACUUUUUCCAACC
Hibiscus syriacus is the source of this 248-nucleotide long non-coding RNA. RefSeq lists it as uncharacterized. Lineage: Eukaryota; Viridiplantae; Streptophyta; Magnoliopsida; Malvales; Malvaceae. The record is from RefSeq and is a predicted model, not a curated record. The transcript has 2 exons.